UGGAUUACAGGAUUGCCACCAAGCCC
RNAcentral lists this non-coding RNA (26 nucleotides) under Mus musculus (house mouse). Lineage: Eukaryota; Metazoa; Chordata; Mammalia; Rodentia; Muridae. The record is from RNAcentral.